AUGUGCCAAGCUCCCAUUUAUGUGAUCUUUGCAAGUGAGGCAGAGAAAGCAGGGACAAAAGUCGGCAACCACAAGGAAGGCGCCCAAAUUAAUUUUGCUUUCAUUGAUGCUGAUGUAAUUGAAGAGGGCACAUUGGCUGCAGGCAUCGGGUGCCGGAAAAUCGAAAGCAGAGAGCCUUCUUUCAUGCAAGAGAAGGUGCAACUCUUGAUUGGUCUGGAUCCAUAUGGUAUUGUUAAAUCGGCUGGCAAGGUUGCCUUUAUCAUUGACAAUGACAAAUAUGUGAAUGGCAUCGAAUGUUCCAUUCCAGUUUUGAUCAAAAGUGGAAACUGGAUCGGCACUGCUCAAGAAAUUGAUGAGUUGUUCCUAGGCGACGCAGAAGUGUGCAGCUCAUCAAUCUUUUAA
Molecule: ribosomal RNA, 402 nt
Filed under: Triticum aestivum (bread wheat)
Lineage: Eukaryota; Viridiplantae; Streptophyta; Magnoliopsida; Poales; Poaceae
Description: partial small subunit ribosomal RNA
Source: RNAcentral